Molecule: ribosomal RNA, 253 nt
Filed under: uncultured bacterium
Lineage: Bacteria
Description: partial 16S ribosomal RNA
Rfam family: Bacterial small subunit ribosomal RNA
Source: RNAcentral
UACGAAGGGGGCUAGCGUUGUUCGGAAUGACUGGGCGUAAAGCGCACGUAGGCGGAUUGGUCAGUUGGGGGUGAAAUCCCGGGGCUCAACCUCGGAACUGCCUUCAAUACUGCCGAUCUUGAGUUCGGGAGAGGUGAGUGGAAUUCCUAGUGUAGAGGUGAAAUUCGUAGAUAUUAGGAAGAACACCAGUGGCGAAGGCGGCUCACUGGCCCGAUACUGACGCUGAGGUGAGAAAGCGUGGGGAGCAAACAGG